RNAcentral lists this ribosomal RNA (484 nucleotides) under uncultured bacterium. Its description in RNAcentral is "partial 16S ribosomal RNA". It matches the Rfam family "Bacterial small subunit ribosomal RNA", at positions 28 to 523 of the family's 1533-position model. The record is from RNAcentral.
GAUGAACGCUGGCGGCGUGCUUAACACAUGCAAGUCGAACGGUGAAGCAGGAGCUUGCUCUUGUGGAUCAGUGGCGAACGGGUGAGUAACACGUGAGCAACCUGCCCCUGACUCUGGGAUAAGCGCUGGAAACGGCGUCUAAUACUGGAUAUGUGAUGUGACCGCAUGGUCUGCAUCUGGAAAGAAUUUCGGUUGGGGAUGGGCUCGCGGCCUUUCAGCUUGUUGGUGAGGUAAUGGCUCACCAAGGCGUCGACGGGUAGCCGGCCGGAGAGGGUGACCGGCCACACUGGGACUGAGACACGGCCCAGACUCGUACGGGAGGCAGCAGUGGGGAAUAUUGCACAAUGGGCGGAAGCCUGAUGCAGCAACGCCGCGUGAGGGAUGACGGCCUUCGGGUUGUAAACCUCUUUUAGCAGGGAAGAAGCGAAAGUGACGGUACCUGCAGAAAAAACACCGGCUAACUACGUGCCAGCAGCCGCCGUAA